UUGUCUGUGUAUUUAUAUAUUGACUGUCUUGCUCCAUGAGAGUAUUGACCCCGUAGAAGCAUACUUUGUCUCCCGUGGGCUUGGCUCAGAAAAGACAUCUCAUAAAUAUUCACGAAGUGAUCAUUAAGCUCAGCUGAGGCCUUCUGUGUACCUGUCCUUGGUGAGGCGCUGUAUUGGAAACUUGGGACACAAGCUAGAAUGAGACAAGGUGAGUCCCAGCAUGGAGGGAGCGAGAGACAAGCUGUGGCAGCAGACAUCAGCUGAGUGUGACACAGAUUUCUUGUUUUCGAGACAGGGUUUCUCUGUGUAGCCCUGGCUGUCCCAGAACUCACUCUGUAGACCAGGCUGGCCUUGAACUCAGAAAUCGCCUGCCUCUGCCUCCCAAGCGUUGGGAUUAAAGGCGUGCACCAUUAUAAAAUACCACAUAUUCAAACUCAACCUCAGACCCUGGAUCCUGCUGUAAUUUCGUGAAGCACAGAGAAGUGAAGUCAUUCAUUUGAGGUCACACAGCUAGAAAAUAAAGCAGCCAGGAUUGGAGUCCUAGUUUCCCAGCUCCUACCACCUCCUUGGGGAUAAUCGGCCUACGCAAGAGAUGGAGUGACUCCAGGCCUGGCCACUCCUUUGGCUGCACAUCAGUAAGAAGACCCUUUGCAAAUCGACUGGUGAAGACAUUCCCAGAUUGCUGAGCCCCAGAAACGGAAACCCUCCAUGAAGAAUGGGUGGAAUCAGUUGUCCAUGGCCCAGCCCUCCUCCUGGUGGAUGGUGGAUGAAAAAGGUAAAUGUCUGCUCUGAGAAGCAAACAACUAGAUUCGCACACUCAUAGAAGGAAGCCAUCGAGAGUGAAGAUGCAGGAGAAGAUGGUGUAUGCCUAAACAAGGAUUGCUCUGUGUCCUCAUAGAUGAAUGAGGUCCUGCUGGGAAUGCCUUCUGCAGGAUCUGGCCUGACUGAUAUGCAGUUCUAUAAAUGUACAUGUUUGUCUCAUUUUUUGUAUAGUUUACUAAUGUAUUAAUAUAGUUUUAAGAAGUAAAUAUUUUUAGGUUG
This is a long non-coding RNA of Mastomys coucha (southern multimammate mouse), 1041 nucleotides long. RefSeq lists it as uncharacterized. NCBI's taxonomy places the organism in Eukaryota, Metazoa, Chordata, Mammalia, Rodentia, Muridae. The transcript is spliced from 3 exons. The record is from RefSeq and is a predicted model, not a curated record.